RNAcentral lists this long non-coding RNA (311 nucleotides) under Helianthus annuus (common sunflower). RNAcentral's name for it is "hypothetical non coding rna". Lineage: Eukaryota; Viridiplantae; Streptophyta; Magnoliopsida; Asterales; Asteraceae. The record is from RNAcentral.
ACACAAGUUUCUCAACCCUAAUUCACCCCACUUGGACGGCGACCUCAUCUUCUGUGAAGCUCUCCUUUUCAUCGAUCUUAACAUCUUCAAUCAUCUGCACUUUGUGGUCUAUAGGUUUAUAUCAUUAGGACUUGCUGUCUGGGAUGCUGGAGUGGUCUAUAGGUUUAUAUCAUUGGGACUUGUUGUCUGGGAUGCUGGAGUGGUCAUGGGUCGUACUGCAUGGAAUCGCGAGACAAGUCUAAUGAUUUUGUACAUACGGUUUAUGUAACACUUAACAAAUGAUUUAUGCUUCCGUUGAAUACGAUGAGUUA